Molecule: ribosomal RNA, 1125 nt
Filed under: Klebsiella pneumoniae
Lineage: Bacteria; Pseudomonadati; Pseudomonadota; Gammaproteobacteria; Enterobacterales; Enterobacteriaceae
Description: bacterial SSU rRNA
Rfam family: Bacterial small subunit ribosomal RNA
Source: RNAcentral
AGAGUUUGAUCAUGGCUCAGAUUGAACGCUGGCGGCAGGCCUAACACAUGCAAGUCGAGCGGUAGCACAGAGAGCUUGCUCUCGGGUGACGAGCGGCGGACGGGUGAGUAAUGUCUGGGAAACUGCCUGAUGGAGGGGGAUAACUACUGGAAACGGUAGCUAAUACCGCAUAAUGUCGCAAGACCAAAGUGGGGGACCUUCGGGCCUCAUGCCAUCAGAUGUGCCCAGAUGGGAUUAGCUAGUAGGUGGGGUAACGGCUCACCUAGGCGACGAUCCCUAGCUGGUCUGAGAGGAUGACCAGCCACACUGGAACUGAGACACGGUCCAGACUCCUACGGGAGGCAGCAGUGGGGAAUAUUGCACAAUGGGCGCAAGCCUGAUGCAGCCAUGCCGCGUGUGUGAAGAAGGCCUUCGGGUUGUAAAGCACUUUCAGCGGGGAGGAAGGCGUUAAGGUUAAUAACCUUGGCGAUUGACGUUACCCGCAGAAGAAGCACCGGCUAACUCCGUGCCAGCAGCCGCGGUAAUACGGAGGGUGCAAGCGUUAAUCGGAAUUACUGGGCGUAAAGCGCACGCAGGCGGUCUGUCAAGUCGGAUGUGAAAUCCCCGGGCUCAACCUGGGAACUGCAUUCGAAACUGGCAGGCUAGAGUCUUGUAGAGGGGGGUAGAAUUCCAGGUGUAGCGGUGAAAUGCGUAGAGAUCUGGAGGAAUACCGGUGGCGAAGGCGGCCCCCUGGACAAAGACUGACGCUCAGGUGCGAAAGCGUGGGGAGCAAACAGGAUUAGAUACCCUGGUAGUCCACGCCGUAAACGAUGUCGAUUUGGAGGUUGUGCCCUUGAGGCGUGGCUUCCGGAGCUAACGCGUUAAAUCGACCGCCUGGGGAGUACGGCCGCAAGGUUAAAACUCAAAUGAAUUGACGGGGGCCCGCACAAGCGGUGGAGCAUGUGGUUUAAUUCGAUGCAACGCGAAGAACCUUACCUGGUCUUGACAUCCACAGAACUUAGCAGAGAUGCUUUGGUGCCUUCGGGAACUGUGAGACAGGUGCUGCAUGGCUGUCGUCAGCUCGUGUUGUGAAAUGUUGGGUUAAGUCCCGCAACGAGCGCAACCCUUAUCCUUUGUUGCCAGCGG